CACAUCUUGAAACUUGUUUAAUCCAACUGAAAGUACUCUCCCUUGCAAUGCUUGUGAGCAACAAAACAAUAAUAAUAAACCUUUCUACGGCUGCAACAGUUGCCAAUAUUUCCUCCAUGAAAACUGCCUCAACGCUCCGCGAUUUCUCGAUCAUUCAUCUCAUCCUGCCCACCCUUUAACCCUUCUCCCAAUUCCAACUUACCCGACUCGUUCCUUUCUUUGCAACGCUUGUGGAUCUUCUGGCAACGGAUUCAGCUUUAGCUGUGCCCGUUGCCAGUUUGAUAUCCACGUGCAAUGUGCCUCUUGUCCGAGUUCAUUACUCAUCGACAAGCACCCACAUCAAUUGGAGCUCAUAUUCGGUUCUCCUUACCAAGAUAGGGAUCAUAUCAAAUACGUUUGUGAUGUCUGCGAUGCAGUAAUGAACAAGGACAAUUGGUUGUACUAUUGUGCUGAUUGUGAUUUCGGGGCGCACUUGCAGUGUGCUAGCCCUGAACUUAAUGUUUACCCAGGAAGCCGAUCAAUUAAUCCAAAUGCUAAUUCAGCACUGGAGAUGAUAAAUUCAGUUAAUGAGAUUAGUGAUAAUUUUUUUGAAUAUCAACUUGCUAGUCGGAUGGCAACACGAUUAGGAGAAGAAAUGGUGGAUUCAACACGAACAUACAUUUACUAUUGACUAUAUAUUAAUGUCAUCAUCUUAUGAGUGAUAAUGCAUCCACUUUGAUAUUAUUCAUGUAAUUUCUGCAAAAUAUAAAUGCUUGAUCAUAAUUUGCAUGUCAUAUUAUUUAUGUUUUAUCGAUCUCGUGUGUUUAAUAUCGUUGCUGGAUAUGUUUCUCCAUCUUACGAUAUCUACUACAACUGUUUAAAUUUCCGCAUAGAAUAAUAAGAUUAAUUUCACAACUUAAUUAUGCACCAUUUUGAAAGCUUCACCUCUAUGUAUCUUUAAUUUAAGAGAGUAUUCCAACAGUGAUUUGUGCGCAACAACUGGGAGUCAGACUAAUAAAUUGAUCACUUGCCCUAAAACACGAUUAAUCAUAUAUCAUAUAUCAUAUAUAUAUAUAUAUAUAUAUAUAUAAAAGAGAAUCUUAGACCCACCUACGUGGCGCCUUCACAAAUCAGAAUUUCCGUUUAAUUUAUUUUAUUUCCAAAACUAGCCUUCCGCAUGAAGAGUUGCUACUUUUAUGAAGAAUUGCGACUUUUAUGAAGUGUUGCGACUUUUAUGAAAAGUUGUGACUUUUAUGAAAGGUUGUGACCUUUCCGAUAAGACACAAUAAGCAUUUGUUCACACUACCUUUUGCUGUCUAUAAAUAGAGGAAUUUCCUCUCAUUUUAAAACAACGAAAAUUUUGAACUUCUUCUUCUUCUGGACAAUUAAAUAAUUGUGUACUUUGCUCCUGUUGAAUGACUCACUGACACCAUUUUUUUGUAUCAAUACACCGGUGAAUAGAAUUGUUCUUUCCUGAGAGGAUCUAUUCCUUUAAAUCUCGGGUACUAGGAGGGAAUAAUUUCCUUAAGGGGACACUGUGCAUUCAGUGGACUCGAUUUUUUCCAUUCUGUUUCAUUCUAUUGUUACAGACCCUUGUAUGUUUUUACAGUCAUUAAUUUAUGCUUAUAUUAUUAAUUGUUAUUUUUGAGUACAUGCUUUAAAUUUUGUUGUUUAUGUUUCUGCAAUAUUAUUGUUAUAAGUAUUUGUUGGUAUAGUACAUAUUAAAUAACAAACGUUAAUUGAGUAUUCAAGCAAGUUUUCUCUACUGGAAUUGAUGAUGGUACGAUAAAAAAAACCCUUACGAAUCUCUAAUUUGUUCAUCAACAACUUCAUUUCUUCACAUACAAGGAUGAGAUUUCGUGUUCUUUAGAAAAUCCUCUGAGAGUUAAUAACUUUGCAUGCCCAUAUUUUUUUGUUUUUAUGUUGUUGUUAUCUAUUUAUACUAAAUUUUAUCACUAUAUAUUAUGAGUACUUGAAGGAUUGAAAGUUGAUUGAAGUGUUAGUCAAUUUUCUGAGGUAUAUAUGUUAUUUUAAAACAUGAGAACUUUUCAGGUUAGAAUGAUUUGUUUUCAUCAUUGGAUAUCUCACAAUUUACUCCCAUUUAAUGUAUGUUUUUUCUUGUUGUUUUGUUGUCUCCUUAAAUUUUUAUUGAUUAUUUUUUGUUUGGUAUGUUAUGAUCUCACUUGGACAAAGCUUUCGUCCUUUUAAUGUUUUCUUUUUUUUCCUUCUCAUUCAGCUCUACGAAAUAUUUUUGGUGUGAGUUAUGACUAUUUUCAGCAAGCUUCAUUUGAAGAAUAUGAAUUAAAAGCUGCUCUAAAUAAAAGUAAUAUCUUAAGCUACAAAAGAUAUGUCUAUCAACAUAGAUUUGUUGUCCUUUAUGUCCCAAGUCAUUAUUGAGUAUUAGAGUUAUCUAGGUUAGACUCAUGUUUAAUUUUUUAAUGUUCGAGAAUAUUUUUUUAAUUUUGAUCUACUUGUACUUUCAUAAUGCAACAACUAUACAUACAUAUUUCUGAAAAAGUUUGUAAAGUUGCAUUGAUGAAGCAUCUAGAAGGGCCUUCAGAGCAGCAGUUUAAUAAAGAAUGAAUUUAUAAAAGGGUCAACAAUAUUAUUUUUCUGUUGUUUCAAAUUUAUUUUUCUCCUUCUAGAAAUUUUGUUAGAGUAACAAAGUAACAAUAACGAAAAGUGGUGAACGUUUGACCUCAGACAAGUAGAUUGUCUCUAAAAAAAAUUAUGUAUAUUGUUGUGGUGUAAAUUUUUAACGGUCUUAACAUAUUUAUAACUAAUAUUGAUUAUCGAAAACUUUUAUAUAAUUUGUUUUUAACAAGGAGUUAUUCUAACCAUAAAAUUAUCAGUUCUAUAUUUUUCAUGUACAAAAAAAUAGAAAAAAAAAUGUUAAAUCGCUUCAUAUAAACAUCACUCAGUUUUAACAAGACAAUUAUAUCAUCAAACAUAUAUUAUGAUAAAUUAUGUAAAAGAUAAAAAUGAUUAGAUAUCAAGAUAUUUUUAAUCAUUCAUUAUAUAUCUAAAAUUCUUGAGAUAUGUGAUAUUGACAAAUCAUUUAAUUUCUAUUGAAAUGUUCUUAAAACCUACUAAAAUUUACAUUUUUUUUCUUAUAACAGUCGAUUAAGAGAACCCUAGGCUCGCUUACGUGGCGCCACCACAAACCAGGAUUCCCUUUUAACUUAUUUAUUUCUAAAACUAGCCUUCCCUUUUCGUGAAAAAUUGUGACUUUUAUGAAAAAAAUUGACUUUUAUGAAAAGUUGUGACUUUAAUGAGAGUUGCGACUUUUAUAAAAAGUUGUGACUUUUAUGAAAUGUUGUGAACUUUCCGAAUGGUUGCACUUUUCCAAAUAGUUGUAACAUUUCCGAUAAGACACAAUAAACAUUUGUUCACACUACCCUUUGUUAUCUAUAAAUAGAGGGAUUUCCUCCCAUUUUAAAACAACGAAAAUUCUGAACCUCCUCUUCUUCUUCUUCUACACAAUUAAAUAUUCGUAUACUUUGCUUAUGUUGAGUGGCUCACUGACACCAUUGCUUAUGUUACAGAUUCUGAUAUGUAUUUUACAGUCAUUAAUUUAUGUUUAUAUUAUUAAUGAUAAAUUAUUAGAUGUUAUAAUAUUUAUUUUCCUUUACAUUAUUAAUGUUUGUUACUACGUAACCUUGUAUGUAAGAUAAUAUAAUGUUUUAGUUUUAAUGACUGAUAGGUUUGAAGUAUUAUUUUAUAAAUUUCGUGAUAUUGAAUUCCGGUAAUUUUACUAGUUAAGGUAAGUUGUUUGGUAGAAGGGAUAAAAUUAGGGGUUAAACACGAAGGAUAGUGCUCGUCAUAUAUCAAUCAUCCCUAGGCUCAAAAAGUACUUAUUAUACGAACUCUCCAAUGUGCCUGUGUAUACAUACAUAUAUAUGAUCUAGAUAAAGAUUCAGAAUCCAUUAAAGGGUCUCUAGCAAAAAGUGAAAAGACGUGCGUUAGAGAUUUUUUUUUUUGUUCGUCUUAAAGAAUAAAAUAAAGUGUAUGAAAAAGGGUUAAAGUGCCUUGAAUUAUGGGAAACUGAACAAAAAUGCACUCAAUUAAUCGUUGGUGUUAAAAUAUCCUUAUCGUCAAUAGUUAAGUCCAAAAAUGUCCCUAUUGUUACUUAAUGGUUAAAAAAUGCUCCUUUCUAAUGAAUAUAUUACUAUUUUUUUUUUUUAAUCACAUUUUAUUUCUAAUAAAAAUAUUAAAUUUGUUUUUUUUUUUAACCUCCCCUAGAGCUCCCACCCCUUUUGCUCCCUUGGUGACUCGAACUCGCAACCUUUAGAUUGGAAGUGAGGGGUGCUUACUAGGGGUGUGCAUUCGAUUUUUUGAUUUGGUUUUAUACUAUUCGGUUUGAAUUUUUUGAUUUUUGGUUUUGAAGAAGUGUAAUCCAAUCCGAACCAAAAUAAAUUUGGUUUUUCUCUUUUUGGUUUGGGUUUUUUUCGAUUUGGUUAAUCUAUUAUGUCAAUAAUUAGAAACAUAACAAAGUUAUAUUUGCAAUUUAAACUUUAUAUAUAUAUAAUAUUGAAUUUCUUAAAUAUACUUUUUAAUAUAAAUCACAAGUAAAACGUAAAACACAAUACUUAAAAGUAUAUCAAUUAUAGAUGUCCAAACAUAAAAAAAUAAACUAAAUCAUAAUGAAAAUAACUAAAAAGGGACAAAAGUGGUUAACUCCAACUUAAUUCUAAACAUAUACAUACAUACAUACAUAUAUACAUAUAUACAUAUACAUACAUAUAUAUGUAUGUAUGUAUGUAUAUACAUACACAUAUAUAAUUCGGUUUUUUUUAUUUUUCGGUUUUCAUUUUUCUAAAUCCGAAACCAAACCAAAAAACCAAACAAAGUAAAUUAUAAAUCCAAAACCAAACCAAAAAUCCAAAAAACCAAUCCAAAUUAGAAUUCAGUUUGAUUUGGUUUGGUUUUUCGAUUUAAUCCAAAUAGUGCACACCCCUAGUGCUUACCAUCCCAGCAACUCUCUCUCAUCUUGUUUCUUUUAUUUUAAAAUCACUUUCUCUACAAAAUAAGUAGAAAAUAAUCUUAAAUAAUAUUUUUUUCUUCUUAAUUUCAUCAAUUAAUAUAAAAUAACUAUAUGUACCUUUUUAACUGACAAUAUAGGUCAAAUAUAUAAGAUCAUAAUAACCCCAACCCAUUAUAAUUUCAUUUUGGUUUUAGAUAAUUUCUUUUUUGAUAAAAUAGAAAUAUUUGUAUUUUCUUAAUUUUUUUUUAAUUGAAGUAGGAUAAACAUUUCCUAAUAAAAAUAUAUAUUAUUAGAAGAAAAAAAACAUGUUUAAAAAAGAAAAGAAAUAUUAUAUUUAUUUGAAAAAUAACAUUUUUAACUCUUUAAGUAAUAGUAGGAAUAUCUUUUUAACCAAACUAGUGACGACAAGAGCCUUUUUAGACUAGACUAUCGAUCGAGGGCAUUUUGUUCAAUUUCACAUAAUUCAAAGAUGUUUUUGACCCUUUUUCAUAAAUCUUAUAUGAAAUCUGAUCACAUCCACCUUGAGAAGUAUGGUAACACGAGAAAGACAACUUGAUCGAGAAUGAUAAUCAAAUAAAUAUAUGAUUGUGCGUCUGACAAGUUAAUCAUUGCCUUCAUUUAAAAAAGAAUGACCUAUAUUCUUUUUUAGUAUUUUUCAAAAAGAACAAUCUCUUUCCAUUUUGGGUAAAACUUUAAUUUCAACUUUUUCUGUGACAUAUUUAAAUCCAGAAGAUUAAAGAACAUAUUUGAUAUAUUUGACAGAACUUUAAUUAAGGAGCGCAACAUUAAAAAGUAAUUUUUAUUUUCUUGAACCCAAUUUCAAAUUAAAUUAGAUUAUUCUUUUUGAAAUCGUGAGAGUAUAAUAUUGAAACGCUGCAAUAAUCAAAACUUCAAAGUCUGAUAUGAACAAAUAGUCGACUAGCACUACGUACCAAAAUGAUUGAUGGCAUACCAACUUGCAAGAACAAAAAGUCAACCGAAAACUUCCAUGAACCUCAACAUAUUUAUACAUAGGGGUGUCAAAUGAGCGGGUUGAGUUGAAAUUGAAGAUACUAAAAUGGGUUGAAAUAGAAAUUGGAUUGGGUCUUGACCCGCCCAAGUUUACUUUGGGCUCAAAUGGGCUAAAAAAUGGGUUGGGUCUUGACCCGAUUAAUCUCAAUAUAAUUUUAACAUAGUGAUAUUUAACUUUUAUAAUCACAAUUCGAAUUUCAGCUCAAUUUUUUUUAUAAAAAAAAAGUAACAAAUGGAUAGAUAAAUCCUAAAAGGUGUUAAAUAGAUAAUAAUUCAUACCUUUAAUAGAGGAACAUAUCUUAAUAAAGAGUUUUAAAACGAGUUGAAAUUGGAGAUUCAAUUGAGCUCAAUUGAGGAUUUUCUUAAAAUGGGUUAGGCUUGAAUGUGUUGAGAUUGAAUCUAUGUUUCACAUAUAAGCAAACAAAAAAAAUCAUAUUUGUAUGCUAUAGCAAAAUUUGCAUAAUUGCGCUCCAUAGCAAACAUAUAAAUGUAUAAUUCGCUAUACAUAUAUACAAAAAGAAGCAAUUGUAUAAUUCGUUGGCUCCUCUUCAGAAUUGUAUAAUUUCGUUGGCAGGCCAUUUGUAUAAAUUGUUGUUAGUCUCUCGUUUGUAUAAAUCGUUGACAAACAUAAAUUAUACAUUAUACAAGCAUAAAACUGGGCAGGGGAAUAUUUUUAUUAUAUAAUUAUAAGUGUAUAGAACGAAUAUAUAUGUAUUUGCAUGUGUAUAUACAAUUUUCUCGCGUAUUAUACAAACAGAAACGCAAUUUAUACAAUUCUGUUGUAUAAAACGAGAAAGAGAGAAAGACAAAAGAGAACUGGGCAGGGGAAUAUUUUAUUGUAUAAUUAUAAGUGUAUAGGACGAAUAUAUAUGUAUUUGCAUGUGUAUAUACAAUUUUCUCUCGCUUUAUACAAACAGAAACGCAAUUUAUACACUUCUGUGUAUAAAGCGAGAGAGGCGAGCACAGAGAGAGUGAGCAAGAGAGGAGAGUGGCGAGCGAGAGUUUGAGGGAGAGAGGCGCUGGCAAACAGUUUGCUACAAGACACAAUUAAAUCAAAGUGUGAUUAUAUCAUUUAAUUUGAAUUAAUAGUUUGUCAUUAUGUACAUCUUAAAAUUUUGGGCGGGUUGAAAGGGUUAUCUAUGUUUGGGUUCAUUUUUGACACCCUUUAUACCUAGUGAAUACGAAGAUGCUCGACGCCAUUUUAGUCAAAGUCAAAAACAUGAAGAUGCUCGGCGCCAUUAGUACGUAGCCCAUGGAUAACAGCUAGUCAGUCAAUAAGAUAAAGAUGUUUAAAUAUACUUUUGCAUAACAAUUUGGCCAAAUUGUUAAUUAAUGUCGGAGACGACUUAGUAAAAGAAAAAGAAAUUAUGGAAGCAAAGUCGUCUAAAGGAAGCAACGUGACCAAGUUAUUGCAUCGUAUAGUUGAAUUAAAAUAUCUAUAAAUGUUUAUCACUUGCAGCUACCUAAGCUAACUCUCUAAUAUAUAUCCAUUAUAUUGCAGAACAAAAUUACAAGAAAAAAAAAAUGGGAAGACAAAACCGGGGUACAAAUGCGGGACCUCAAGAUAAACAACACUUCAGCCAUUCCCACAUCUUGAAACUAAUUGUGAAUCCAUCUGAAACAGUACUCCCUUGCAAUGCUUGUGAGCAACCAAACAAUACUAACAAACCUUUCUAUGGCUGCAACACCUGCCAAUAUUCUCCAUGAAACUGCUUCAAUGCUCCGCGUUUUCUCAAUCACGCGUCUCAUCCUUCCCAUCCCUUGACCCUUCUCCCAAGUGCGACUUAUUCGAGUUGUUCCUUUACUUGCAAGGCUUGUGACUCUGCUGGCAAUGUACUUUGCUUUAGCUGUGCUUGUUGUGAAUUUGAUAUCCACUUACAAUGUGCAUCUCUUUCGAGUUUUAUACUUGUUGAUAAAC
RNAcentral lists this long non-coding RNA (7892 nucleotides) under Solanum tuberosum (potato). RNAcentral's name for it is "long non-coding RNA (STUB_LNC002104)". The record is from RNAcentral. Lineage: Eukaryota; Viridiplantae; Streptophyta; Magnoliopsida; Solanales; Solanaceae.